This 391-nucleotide unclassified non-coding RNA is filed under the name uncultured Chytridiomycota. RNAcentral describes it as "sequence contains ITS1". The stretch from base 1 to 105 matches the Rfam family "5.8S ribosomal RNA", at positions 50 to 154 of the family's 154-position model. Lineage: Eukaryota; Fungi; Chytridiomycota. The record is from RNAcentral.
GAAAUGCGAUAUGUAAUGUGAAUUGCAGAAUUCAGUGAAUCAUCGAAUCUUUGAACGCACAUUGCGCUCCUUGGUAUUCCGGGGAGCACACCUGUUUGAGUAUCAAUAGUCUCUCACCUCCCCUAUGUUUGAACAUUGGGGAAUUGGUGGAUUUGGAUGUUCUGUUUGUAUUUUAUACGAACAGUCAUCUUAAUUUAAAUGUCAGAAGCCUCUUUUAAAGAGAGUUUGCUUGUUUGAAUUGAAACAAUGAGCCUUGUGCACUUGAGUCUUUAAACAGCACUUUUUUUGAAUUAGUGUCUUUUGAUCCCUUUAUUAUACAUUCAGUCAGAACUUGUCUCUGAUUGUUUGAACACUUGGUCUCAAAUCAGGUGGGAAAACCCGCUGAACUUAA